This 535-nucleotide small RNA is filed under the name Pongo abelii (Sumatran orangutan). RNAcentral describes it as "retained intron". The record is from RNAcentral. Lineage: Eukaryota; Metazoa; Chordata; Mammalia; Primates; Hominidae.
GGGCCAUGGACGGAGCAGUGAUGGAAGGGCCGCUCUUUUUGCAGAGUCAGCGCUUUGGGACCAAGGUAGUCUGGCGCACGGAUGCCGAACCUUAUCCGGGCUAGUAGUGGGUGGAGGAAGACCUGGGCCGUGCUCUACCCGGCCAGUCCCCACGGCGUAGCUCGGCUCGAGUUCUUUGACCAUAAGGGGUCGAGCUCUGGGGGUGGCCGAGGGAGCUCGCGCCGCCUGGACUGCAAGGUGAUCCGUCUGGCUGAGUGUGUGAGUGUGGCCCCUGUCACCGUGGAGACCCCCCCUGAGCCCGGCGCCACUGCAUUCCGCCUGGACACUGCUCAGCGCUCGCACCUGCUGGCGGCCGACGCGCCGUCCAGUGCAGCCUGGGUGCAGACGCUGUGCCGAAACGCCUUUCCGAAAGGCAGUUGGACUCUGGCUUCUACUGAUAACCCACCUAAGCUUUCUGCCCUGGAGAUGCUGGAGAACUCCUUGUACAGCCCUACCUGGGAAGGAUCCCAAUUCUGGGUAACGGUGCAGAGGACUG